RNAcentral lists this ribosomal RNA (489 nucleotides) under uncultured bacterium. Its description in RNAcentral is "bacterial SSU rRNA". It matches the Rfam family "Bacterial small subunit ribosomal RNA", at positions 8 to 518 of the family's 1533-position model. The record is from RNAcentral.
AGAGUUGAUCAUGGCUCAGAACGAACGCUGGCGGCAUGGAUUAGGCAUGCAAGUCGAACGGGAGCAGCAAUGCUCCAGUGGCGCAAGGGUGAGGAACACGUGAACAACCUGCCUUCGAGUUGGGGGAUAGCUUCUGGAAACGGGAGAUAAUACCGAAUUAACAUCAUCGGACCGCAUGGUCUGAUGAUCAAAGCAGCAAUGCGCUUGAAGAGGGGUUCGCGUCCCAUUAGCUAGUUGGUGAGGUAACGGCCCACCAAGGCGAUGAUGGGUAGCUGGUCUGAGAGGACGAUCAGCCACAUUGGGACUGAGAUACUGCCCAGACUCCUACGGGAGGCUGCAGUCGAGGAAUUUUGGGCAAUGGACGAAAGUCUGACCCAGCCAAUGCCGCGUGCGGGAUGAAGGUCUUCGGAUUGUAAACCGCUGUCAAGAGGGACGAAACAUGACGGUACCUCUGGAGGAAGCCACGGCUAACUACGUGCCAGCCGCUGC